CGGGAAAAGCUCAAAUUUAAAAUCUGGCGGUCCCUGUGGCCGUCCGAGUUGUAAGUUAGAGAAGUGUUAUCCGCGCUGGACCGUGUACAAGUCCCUUGGAACAGAAUGUCAAAGAGGGUGAGAAUCCCGUCU
Molecule: ribosomal RNA, 132 nt
Filed under: Mycena sp.
Lineage: Eukaryota; Fungi; Basidiomycota; Agaricomycetes; Agaricales; Mycenaceae
Description: partial large subunit ribosomal RNA
Source: RNAcentral